AUAUCAGUUUUAAUAAUAUAAUAUAUUGUAUAUGCAUAUAAUAUUGAUAAUAAUAUUAUCAUUUUAUACAAUACAAUACUAACAAUAAUAUCAUAUAAUAAUAUUAAUUAUAUGUUAUAUAUUACAUAUAAUAUUACAGUAUAGUGGUAUAGUUCAAUAUAGUAUAAUGCUAAUAUUGUGCUAUGCUAAUAAUAUAAUAUUAUUGUAUGUACAUACAGCUGCUCUGAGUUCCCUUCGGGGUGAGAAGGGUGGGAUAUAAAUGUAGUAAAUAAAUGUAGUAAAUGAAUAAAUAAAUAAUUUUGGACUUAGGCUCGCCCAAAGUCUGAAAUGACUUGAAGACACACAACAACAACAACAACAACAACAACAACAACAACCCUAAUUAACCUGACUAUCUCAUUGGCCAGAAGCUGGCCCACACUUCCUAUUGAAAUCCUGAUAGAUUUAUGUUGGUUAAAAUUAUUUUCAUUGUUAUGGUUGAGCCUUAUGGCUCCAAUACUGGGAGACGUGGCCGUAAGACUCCUCGAGAGUCAGACUCUAUUGAGGAGCGAGAGAGGAAACGGCUGCGGGACAUAUUUGCAGAAUCAACUGACGAAGAUUCCUUUGAGGGUUUUACUGAGAGAAUGGAGGAAGAGGUGGUUAGCUCAGAGGAGGGUGACAUGGAAUGGACACGUGUGAGGGAGGAUUUGGGUGUUCCUGGUAAUGAUAGCAUGGGAAGCGACUGGCGGGUUGCAGGAUCGGACCCAUGGACGAGUUGGAGGGAUGGGACGGGAUCCACAGCUGGGGAUGCUGUGGGGCGUAGUCAAAGAUGUUUUAGCUCUGAUGAGGAUGAUGAUGAUGAGGCACCUGGAAUUAGGGUAACACCUGAUAGCGAUGAGGAGUUGUAACUGGCAUAAAAUGGGGUCUUGAAUCCAGGGCUAAUUGCGUUGGGCAAGGUAAUCUGGACGAACGCUUGGGCUCUUGUUGGGAAUUUCCUGAAGACGGGUGUGUUUCGUUUGCUGACUACCUUGGACCUCCGUCGUCUUCUUGACGGACAUUAUUUACCUACUCGGAAUUGACGCUGGACUGGCUGACUGACUGACUGACUGACUGACUGGCUGACUACGACCUUGGACUACCCUCUCUUUGGCUAUCGGAGGAUUUCGUGGAACCUAAGACGCCUGCACCUGGCCUUCGACCUCGGACCGGAUUGGGACCCCGCUGACCGCUGCAACCCUGAUUGAUGUGUUUGGACCCGGCGUUCGCCCGCUGCACGGAGGAGUAACAACUUAGUUGCUCAACCUCAGCUGUUGAGUAGCAGAGAGGAAUCUGCUGCCAGUAUUUAUGUUCUAUUGAAUCUUUGUUUACCAGCUUUUUUGUUUGUUUAAAGUUCCAGGCUGAAGUAAGCAUUUUUGGUUUAAUCCGGUUUAGCUUUUGAACCAUUUUUGAGUGACUUUUCAUAUUGAAGGCGAGUGUUUGCCUAGCUCUUUGUUUUUUACGGGCAUUUUUUGGUUCUGUAUCUUUAAUAAACUGUGUUGAAUCUU
This is a long non-coding RNA of Anolis carolinensis (green anole), 1523 nucleotides long. RefSeq lists it as uncharacterized. The transcript has 2 exons. Lineage: Eukaryota; Metazoa; Chordata; Lepidosauria; Squamata; Anolidae. The record is from RefSeq and is a predicted model, not a curated record.